GGUAAUAAUAGAAAUCGAUUUACGCAUAAUUUCUUUAUGUGCUAAAAAGUUUUUGGGAAAUGGGAAAUUAGUGAAAAAUUCGUGUUUAAAAAAUCGCAGCGAUAAAAAGUAUCAUAUACAGUGGGCUAUAGUGGACUAAAAUUUAAGAAAAAAAUGUGCAAGUGAUAAUAAUAAUAUAAUCUAAUGAUAAAAUUUUUAAAGCUGAAAACUUGAAGUUUUGGUGUUAAUAAAACUGAAAUUCCAAAAAUAACAACAACAAUUACAAUACCACAGCGCGAAGGAACCAAAUAUUGGUGCGCUGGUGUUUUGACGGUGCACCGAAAUUGAUUUUCUCACUCUCCACCGUCUCAAAACAGAUAUUGUACUUACUCGUAUAGAAAGCUAAUGUCCACUGGCCAUCAUACCCGCGCGGUGGUGGCAAAAAGAAUUCUUUUAGCAUGGUUUAUGUACACGUAUGUAUAGUGAGAAUUUUUGCAAGCAAUAUGCCUCAAUUUCCUAUCGAAAUUUAUUUUUUUUUCACAAUAAUUCAUCAAUAAUCUUCGGUGAAAACACUGAAAUCCUUUGACAGCAAUUUCAAGAGAAACAAAAAUGACGGAAAUUUAGUCGCGAUAAUCAAAUUGCAGAUAAAUAAGUACAUCCAUGCACUGGAAUUUUGAAAUCUGCGAUUAUAUGAAAUUAAUAAAGCGUGGUCACACGCCGAAAUUGAAAGUUUCUGACAGUAAAAUGCAUGAAGGAAAUAAAAUUUUCGUGAAAAUUGCUCCAAUUGAGUCCAAAAUUACACUACGAACACUUUUCCGACAGUUUGCUGAAAAUAUGUUGGGUGUGGUGAAUAAUAUUACUCGUCUGGCAGGAUCGGUUAGUACGGUUCCUGCCAACAGGCGACCAAAGAGGAGAUGUGGUGAUCGCCGAAACUAGCACUCCGACUACUCUACAAUUUUUCUAUUACUUCGUUUAAGAUUCGCAUUAAGCCGAGAAGCAUAAACACCAAAUGUUCUACUCGAGGUGAAUUCGGAUUGGAGUUGGAGUCUGCUAAGCUCAACUUUUCUUAAUCUUGGUAAAAUUUGAGGUAAAUAAGAGUUUCAGCGCUUCAUUAGCUUGUGCAAGCCAAGUGUUCAUAAGCUCAACUUGCCACUCCGUGUAAAAUUGCAAGUGAAAUGGAAAUGUGUGCAACACAUCUAAAAUCUAAAUAAAAAUUUGAAAUUAAAAAUGACAAGCUAAUUUUACUUAUUCUUUAAAAAUUUAUUUCAAUUCAAAUUCUCAUAAAAGUGAACAAAAGAUCCCGGAGAAGCAGUUUGUAAUACACAUGGAUGUGUUUUAUCAAUUGAUUUCGAAGAUAAUGGAACCUCUAUAUCUUGUUUUCGCAAAACCUGAGUCAAUAUGGAUUUUUUUUCGUGAUUUUUCGCUCUCCACUCA
Molecule: long non-coding RNA, 1413 nt
Organism: Ceratitis capitata (Mediterranean fruit fly)
Lineage: Eukaryota; Metazoa; Arthropoda; Insecta; Diptera; Tephritidae
Exons: 3
Source: RefSeq, a predicted model, not a curated record